Molecule: ribosomal RNA, 274 nt
Filed under: uncultured bacterium
Lineage: Bacteria
Description: partial 16S ribosomal RNA
Rfam family: Bacterial small subunit ribosomal RNA
Source: RNAcentral
AUACGGAGGGGGCUAGCGUUGUUCGGAAUUACUGGGCGUAAAGCGCACGUAGGCGGAUUAAAAAGUUAGAGGUGAAAUCCCAGGGCUUAACCCUGGAACUGCCUUUAAAACUAGUAGUCUAGAGUUCGAGAGAGGUGAGUGGAAUUCCAAGUGUAGAGGUGAAAUUCGUAGAUAUUCGGAGGAACACCAGUGGCGAAGGCGGCUCACUGGCUCGAUACUGACGCUGAGGUGCGAAAGCGUGGGGAGCAAACAGGAUUAGAAACCCCAGUAGUCC